This 465-nucleotide ribosomal RNA is filed under the name Vreelandella stevensii. RNAcentral describes it as "partial 16S ribosomal RNA". It matches the Rfam family "Bacterial small subunit ribosomal RNA", at positions 338 to 795 of the family's 1533-position model. Lineage: Bacteria; Pseudomonadati; Pseudomonadota; Gammaproteobacteria; Oceanospirillales; Halomonadaceae. The record is from RNAcentral.
CCUACGGGGGGCAGCAGUGGGGAAUAUUGGACAAUGGGGGGAACCCUGAUCCAGCCAUGCCGCGUGUGUGAAGAAGGCCCUCGGGUUGUAAAGCACUUUCAGUGAGGAAGAACGCCUGGUGGUUAAUACCCAUCAGGAAAGACAUCACUCACAGAAGAAGCACCGGCUAACUCCGUGCCAGCAGCCGCGGUAAUACGGAGGGUGCGAGCGUUAAUCGGAAUUACUGGGCGUAAAGCGCGCGUAGGUGGCUUGAUAAGCCGGUUGUGAAAGCCCCGGGCUCAACCUGGGAACGGCAUCCGGAACUGUCAAGCUAGAGUGCAGGAGAGGAAGGUAGAAUUCCCGGUGUAGCGGUGAAAUGCGUAGAGAUCGGGAGGAAUACCAGUGGCGAAGGCGGCCUUCUGGACUGACACUGACACUGAGGUGCGAAAGCGUGGGUAGCAAACACGAUUAGAUACCCGAGUAGUC